UCGAACGCGAUUUUUCCGGUUAGCAAUAACUGGAGAAAUUGAGUGGCGAAUGGGUGCGUAACACGUGGGAAUUUAUCCGGAAGUGGGGGAUAGCUUGCCGAAAGGCAAAUUAAUACCGCAUAUGCCCGUAAGGGCAAAGUGGGGGACCGCAAGGCCUCACGCUAUCGGAGGAGCCCGCGCCCUACCAGCUAGUUGGUGAGGUAAUGGCUCACCAAGGCUUAGACGGGUAGCUGGUCUGAGAGGACGACCAGCCACACUGGAACUGAGACACGGUCCAGACACC
RNAcentral lists this ribosomal RNA (283 nucleotides) under unidentified marine bacterioplankton. RNAcentral describes it as "partial 16S ribosomal RNA". It matches the Rfam family "Bacterial small subunit ribosomal RNA", at positions 62 to 339 of the family's 1533-position model. RNAcentral also lists the same sequence under 1 other name. The record is from RNAcentral.